CCAUCCUUUAAAGAGUGCGUAACAGCUCACUAGUCGAAUGACUCUGCGCCGAUAAUUUACCGGGGCUAAGUAUAUUACCGAAGCUAUGGAUUUGCGAUGAGCAAGUGGUAGGGGAGCGUUCUAUGAGCGAAGAAGCAGUACCGGAAGGAGCUGUGGAGCAUAUAGAAGAGAGAAUGCCGGUGUGAGUAGCGGAACGUGGGUGAGAAUCCCACGCACCGAAAACCCAAGGUUUCCAGAGGAAGGUUCGUCCGCUCUGGGUAAGUCGGGACCUAAGGCGAGGCCGAGAGGCGUAGUCGAUGGACAACAGGUAGAGAUUCCUGUACUUACGGUAUGAAUGAAGGAGUGACGGAGAAGGCUAGGUGAUCCUGCGGCUGGAAGAGCAGGUGCAAGCGAGGUAGCAGAUAUCCAGGCAAAUCCGGAUGUCGAGAAAGCGAAGGCGUGAAGCGGAUGGAAAGCCAAGGCAAGUACAGAAGUCAUUGAAGCCAGCUUCCAAGAAAAGCUUCUAGUGAAAAUCAUACAGUAACCCGUACCGAAAAUGGACACACAUGGGUGAGGAGAGAAUCCUAAGGUGAGCGAGAGAACUAUAGCUAAGGAACUCUGCAAAAUGACUCCGUAACUUAGGGAGAAGGAGUGCUCAUAGAGAUAUGAGCCGCAGUGAAACGGCCCAAGCGACUGUUUACCAAAAACACAGCUCUAUGCUAAGUCGAAAGACGACGUAUAUGGGGUGACGCCUGCCCGGUGCUGGAAGGUUAAGAGGAUGUGUCAGCGCAAGCGAAGCACUGAAUUGAAGCCCCAGUAAACGG
Molecule: ribosomal RNA, 803 nt
Filed under: Thomasclavelia spiroformis DSM 1552
Lineage: Bacteria; Bacillati; Bacillota; Erysipelotrichia; Erysipelotrichales; Coprobacillaceae
Description: bacterial LSU rRNA
Rfam family: Bacterial large subunit ribosomal RNA
Source: RNAcentral